Molecule: non-coding RNA, 97 nt
Organism: Mucidula mucida
Lineage: Eukaryota; Fungi; Basidiomycota; Agaricomycetes; Agaricales; Physalacriaceae
Source: the annotation of a GenBank genome assembly
UGGGAUAUGGUGUAACGGCUAACAUUAGCGCCCCUCAUGGAUCUCCAAACUUAAUUCAGCUUCGCGCUAGCUCGGGGUUCGAUUCCCCGUAUCCGAA